AUUGAACGCUGGCGGCAUGCCCUACACAUGCAAGUCGAACGGUAACGGGCCUUCGGGUGCCGACGAGUGGCGAACGGGUGAGUAAUACAUCGGAACGUGCCCGAUCGUGGGGGAUAACGAGGCGAAAGCUUUGCUAAUACCGCAUACGAUCUACGGAUGAAAGCAGGGGACCGCAAGGCCUUGCGCGGACGGAGCGGCCGAUGGCAGAUUAGGUAGUUGGUGGGAUAAAAGCUUACCAAGCCGACGAUCUGUAGCUGGCCUGAGAGGAUGAUCAGCCACACUGGGACUGAGACACGGCCCAGACUCCUACGGGAGGCAGCAGUGGGGAAUUUUGGACAAAGGGCGCAAGCCUGAUCCAGCCAUGCCGCGUGCAGGAUGAAGGCCUUCGGGUUGUAAACUGCUUUUGUACGGAACGAAAAGCCUUCUUUUAAUACAGGAGGGUCAUGACGGUACCGUAAGAAUAAGCACCGGCUAACUACGUG
This 482-nucleotide ribosomal RNA is filed under the name uncultured bacterium. RNAcentral's name for it is "partial 16S ribosomal RNA". It matches the Rfam family "Bacterial small subunit ribosomal RNA", at positions 30 to 507 of the family's 1533-position model. The record is from RNAcentral.